RNAcentral lists this long non-coding RNA (1124 nucleotides) under Drosophila guanche. The record is from RNAcentral. Lineage: Eukaryota; Metazoa; Arthropoda; Insecta; Diptera; Drosophilidae.
ACAAGGUGUUCUGUAAUGUGAACGAUAUCUAGUGGUUGGCGAUGUCUUCUACAUCUAGAUGUAGUCCUGAGUGCCGGGUAUAAAAGUUGUGACGCGUAAGAAGCGUCUCACACGUCCCUUCUCGUUUAUCUUUCAACUUCAGUGGCAUUGUUGCCUCCAUUUGAUUGAGACUAUACUCUGUUUGCUAGGUACCCUCUCGGAAAUUAAAACAGAUCUUUAUUUUACUAUCAAUACUAUCAAUACCACACAAAUACUAUCGAUACCACAAAAUACUAUCGUCUGAGUUUCUUGAUUUUUUCGGAAUUUUUUUUUUUUUUUUUUUUUUUUUUUUUAANUUUUUUUUUUUUUUUUUUUUUUCAUUAAGACCAGUUAACUGCCCAAAUGUUACACUGAACGGCUCACCAAUUCCACAAAGUACCUGUGUGAACUAUCUCGGCUUGCAUCUCGACCGCAGAUUAACAUGGAAAAACCACAUUAAAGCAAAAAGUCAACAACUUAGACUUAAAACACUAAAAUUGUCCUGGUUGAUAAGUCGAAAAUCAGAAACCACUUUGGAAAACAAAAUUCGCCUCUACAAAUCCAUACUGAAACUGAAAAAAUUAUUUUUCUUUUCUCUCUCUCUUUAUAUUUACAAUCUCUUUUUUUUUUCUAGACGUUGCUAUGCAAUGACUGCACCAUCAAGUGGCCAUGCGACACCAAGCAAAAGCCUGUUACGCGAGGAACCCAGGAGAACGCAGCCCUCCUCCCGCCCAAAAAAACAAUGAAUGCAAAAUGGAUCCAUGCAGGAGAUUGCUUUUAGUGGGAUUGGCGGCUCUUGCAUGAUCGGAGGAGGAGGAGAAUCAACAAAAUAAGCGCCGACAGCUUUGAUAAAACCCAUAUCUGCAGGAAAGAAACCAGAACGGUCGUUUGUCUAUACAUUUGAGUAUUAUAACUCAUAUAAAUAUGUGUACAUUAAUGGAAACCCAUGAAACGAUACCCUUUGCAUAUUCCGCAGUUUGAAAAUAUGACAGAGAAUUUGCAUAUGGCUGAGAAUAACAUCUGCAGACUUCUUUAUUUUGCGCCCGUUGCAAAGUUGUAAAACGGCGCCUCCAAGCUCCCUUCCUAUUCAACAAUGGCUAGUUUCG